UACUCUGCGUGCGCUUCAGGUGCUUCCAUAGAGAAGUGAAACUGGGAAGUUAGUUAAAUUUUUGAAUUUAAAGCUAACACUGCCCCCGCAACGGUGAAUAGUUAUCUUGUUAUAACUUAAGUCCGGAGACCGGCCUGCUGCAAACCUAAUUU
This 152-nucleotide non-coding RNA is filed under the name Acinetobacter sp. Lineage: Bacteria; Pseudomonadati; Pseudomonadota; Gammaproteobacteria; Moraxellales; Moraxellaceae. The record is from RNAcentral.